UGGGGAAUAUUGCGCAAUGGGCGAAAGCCUGACGCAGCAACGCCGCGUGAGUGAAGAAGGUCUUCGGAUUGUAAAGCUCUGUCUUCAGGGACGAUAAUGACGGUACCUGAGGAGGAAGCCACGGCUAACUACGUGCCAGCAGCCGCGGUAAUACGUAGGUGGCAAGCGUUGUCCGGAUUUACUGGGCGUAAAGGGUGCGUAGGCGGAUGAUUAAGUCAGAUGUGAAAUACCAGGGCUCAACCCUGGGGCUGCAUUUGAUACUGGUUAUCUAGAGUGCAGGAGAGGAGAGCGGUAUUCCUAGUGUAGCGGUGAAAUGCGUAGAGAUUAGGAAGAACACCAGUGGCGAAGGCGGCUCUCUGGACUGUAACUGACGCUGAGGCACGAAAGCGUGGGGAGCAAACA
This 402-nucleotide ribosomal RNA is filed under the name uncultured Eubacteriales bacterium. Its description in RNAcentral is "uncultured Clostridiales bacterium partial 16S ribosomal RNA". It matches the Rfam family "Bacterial small subunit ribosomal RNA", at positions 355 to 774 of the family's 1533-position model. Lineage: Bacteria; Bacillati; Bacillota; Clostridia; Eubacteriales. The record is from RNAcentral.